UACGGGGGAUGCAAGUGUUAUCCGGAAUAAUUGGGCGUAAAGCGUCUGUAGGUGGUUGACCAAGUCUGUUGUUAAAAAUCAGGGCUUAACCCUGAUCCGGCAACAGAAACUAGUAAACUUGAGUACGGUAGGGGCAGAGGGAAUUCUCGGUGUAGUGGUGAAAUACGUAGAUAUCGAGAAGAACACCAAUAGCGAAAGCACUCUGCUGGGCCGAAACUGACAUUGAGAGACGAAAGCUAGGGGAGCAAAAGGGAUUAGAUACCCCUGUAGUCCUAGCCGUAAACGAUGGAUACUAAGUGCUGUGCGACUCAAAACGUCCAGUGCUGUAGCUAACGCGUGAAGUAUCCCGCCUGGGGAGUAUGCUCGCAAGAGUGAA
This 376-nucleotide ribosomal RNA is filed under the name uncultured bacterium. RNAcentral describes it as "bacterial SSU rRNA". It matches the Rfam family "Bacterial small subunit ribosomal RNA", at positions 524 to 898 of the family's 1533-position model. The record is from RNAcentral.